This 83-nucleotide ribosomal RNA is filed under the name Ophiocordyceps myrmecophila. Its description in RNAcentral is "partial 26S ribosomal RNA". It matches the Rfam family "Eukaryotic large subunit ribosomal RNA", at positions 1 to 81 of the family's 3401-position model. The record is from RNAcentral. Lineage: Eukaryota; Fungi; Ascomycota; Sordariomycetes; Hypocreales; Ophiocordycipitaceae.
UUUAACCUCGGAUCAGGUAGGGAUACCCGCUGAACUUAAGCAUAUUAAUAAGCGGAGGAAAAGAAACCAACAGGGAUUGCCCU